ACCGAUGCUUUGAUUCAACUAGCAUAGUGCAUUUACGUAUAGAAAGAUAAGUCAUCAUCUCAAAUCCAGUGAAAAAGACAGACCCACAAACCAUGAAGCAAAUGCAAAUUUCUUAUCCCAGAUUUCACCAUGGAGUGUAGCUUUAGCAGGAAUCCAGAGCACCAAAAAUCACAUGGGCUUAUCUUCCAAAUGAUGCAACGCCGUGGUCCCCUCCCAAAAACCAUUAUUUCCAGAGGCCUUUAAAGUUUUUGAACCAUUCCAUGGAGAAAAGGGCAUCACUCACGCUUACCAUCUCACAUCGCUGUCUCCAUACUACAAAUAUGUGCAUGCCACAUGUGUACACAGGCAUAAGACAACAGAAAAACCAUGCAAAUUUAUAUUACAUCCAACCAACCAAAUCCAGUCACUAGAUACAGAGCCCCAUGAGCUUCAAGGAAAACAAGUAGACAAACAUGCAUGUUCUUCCACAAUCAAAUUAUAACACCCAUCAAAAAGAAAGGAAGCCAGUCCACCGGUGACAAUGCCUCAGAAGAAACAUGAAAUGGCAAAUCAAAGGUCCCCGGGAGGUUUGCCAGGAUGAAAUAUGAAGGAGGGCCUCACUCGUGCACUGUUACAUAAAAAAGUGGCAACCCUACAAAAGAGAAAUAAAAUGACAAGAAUACAAAAAGGGCGGAAAAGUGAAGGUUGGGUCCCAAAACACCCAAGCAGCGUGCGU
Molecule: unclassified non-coding RNA, 715 nt
Filed under: Hevea brasiliensis (rubber tree)
Lineage: Eukaryota; Viridiplantae; Streptophyta; Magnoliopsida; Malpighiales; Euphorbiaceae
Source: RNAcentral